This 257-nucleotide ribosomal RNA is filed under the name uncultured soil bacterium. Its description in RNAcentral is "partial 16S ribosomal RNA". It matches the Rfam family "Bacterial small subunit ribosomal RNA", at positions 26 to 310 of the family's 1533-position model. The record is from RNAcentral.
AGAACGAACGCUGGCGGCAUGCCUAAUACAUGCAAGUCGAACGAACACUUCGGUGUUAGUGGCGCACGGGUGCGUAACGCGUGGGAAUCUGCCCUUGGGUUCGGAAUAACAGUUGGAAACGACUGCUAAUACCGGAUGAUAUCGAAAGGUCAAAGAUUUAUCGCCCAGGGAUGAGCCCGCGUAGGAUUAGCUAGUUGGUGAGGUAAAGGCUCACCAAGGCGACGAUCCUUAGCUGGUCUAGAGAGGAUGAUCAGCCA